Mobula hypostoma (lesser devil ray) is the source of this 414-nucleotide long non-coding RNA. RefSeq lists it as uncharacterized. Lineage: Eukaryota; Metazoa; Chordata; Chondrichthyes; Myliobatiformes; Myliobatidae. The record is from RefSeq and is a predicted model, not a curated record. The transcript is spliced from 3 exons.
CAGCCCAAAACGUUAACUGUUUACUCUUUUCUGUAGAUGCCACCUGGCCUGCUGAGUUCCUUCAGCAUUUUGUGUGUGGUGCUUGGAUUUCCAGAUUCAGCUGACGUACCAUGGAUUGUUUGUGCCUGUUGAAAUGGAGACAAGAAUAGAGGCUACACAACAGUAAACGCUUUGAAGGAAGAGCUUUAUGUGUCUAUAACCUACCAGACAUUCAAAAGCUACUGGGAGGCAGCAUUCAUCACUAAGGACCCCUACCGUCCAGCUCAUACUCUCUUCUCACUGCUGCACAGGAGCCUUAGAUCCCACACCACCAGGUUGAGAAGCAGUUCAUCCAUCAAGCUCCUGAAGCAGUGCUGAUAACUUCAUUCACUUCAACUCUGAGCUGAUUCCACAAUCUAUGGACUCACUUUCACG